AAACUCGUGCUGUCCACCUUUAGGACUAUUUUUGGUGGACGGAGGGAGUAUCAUUCAUUCCUUAAUCGGUUGAACAAAUUAUCACAUUUAAGUUUCAAACUGAACAUCUAGACAUGCAAAUUAUUGACCAGGUAAUUCACAAGAAAUCAAGCACUAGAAAUCAUGAAUCACAAGUUGGAGGGCAAAUUGAUAUCAAUAAAUCAAACACACAAAUUCAAUCAACUACAUACAAACCCUAGAAUCAGAAAGAAAAAAAANAAUAUAGCCCAACAUAAUUAAAUAAAUAAAAGACAUAAUAGAAAAAAGCAAUCAAAAUAAAUAAAAUUGAUAAAACCCGUAAAUAAUCCUGAAUGAACAGCUUGAAUCUUGAAUCUUGCAGAAAAUAAAUCUAAUCUAUAAAAUCAAUAAAGUUCUAAGUCCCUCUUAAAAAAAAGUUCUAAGUCUAAAAAAUGAUAAAUACAAGGAGAAAAGAUGUGUACAAUAGGUCAACAAAAUGACUUAUAUUUAGGAAUAAGGGAUAAAUACAGUACAAAACUCAAAAAUAUUGAUAAAAAAUUUACUAAAAUUCGAAAAAUCGCG
This 579-nucleotide long non-coding RNA is filed under the name Salvia miltiorrhiza (redroot sage). Its description in RNAcentral is "long non-coding RNA (SMIL_LNC013884)". Lineage: Eukaryota; Viridiplantae; Streptophyta; Magnoliopsida; Lamiales; Lamiaceae. The record is from RNAcentral.